RNAcentral lists this non-coding RNA (69 nucleotides) under Bigelowiella natans. Lineage: Eukaryota; Cercozoa; Chlorarachniophyceae. The record is from RNAcentral.
AACUGCCGCUACUUGGAGAACGAAGGGAUUGAGAUCGAUGGUAUAUCAUCAAAAGCAGUAAAUGACCCU